This 274-nucleotide ribosomal RNA is filed under the name uncultured bacterium. RNAcentral describes it as "partial 16S ribosomal RNA". It matches the Rfam family "Bacterial small subunit ribosomal RNA", at positions 523 to 796 of the family's 1533-position model. The record is from RNAcentral.
AUACGGAGGGUCCGAGCGUUAUCCGGAAUCACUGGGUUUAAAGGGUCCGUAGGCGGGAAUCUAAGUCAGUGGUGAAAUCUUGCAGCUCAACUGUAAAAUUGCCAUUGAUACUGGAUUUCUUGAAUUAGUGUGAAGUGGUUAGAAUGUGUAGUGUAGCGGUGAAAUGCAUAGAUAUUACACAGAAUACCAAUUGCGAAGGCAGAUCACUAACACUAUAUUGACGCUAAGGGACGAAAGCGUGGGGAGCGAACAGGAUUAGAAACCCCGGUAGUCC